RNA transcript from Rattus norvegicus (Norway rat), 4229 nucleotides. It is a transcript of the gene named vezatin, adherens junctions transmembrane protein, with no coding region annotated. Lineage: Eukaryota; Metazoa; Chordata; Mammalia; Rodentia; Muridae. The record is from RefSeq and is marked provisional.
ACGCAUGCCGGGAGUUGUAGUUUUCGGUGCCCCUGAGGUGGGCAGGAGCCGAAGCCUGGGUGCCGCCUGCCCUCCUGCCUUCAUUUCCCAUCGUGCUGAGGCGGGUGGUAUGGCGGAGAAGGAUGACACCGGAGUUUGACGAAGAGGUGGUUUUUGAGAAUUCUCCACUUUACCAGUACCUACAGGAUUUGGGACACACAGAUUUUGAAAUAUGUUCUUCUUUGUCACCAAAAACAGAAACAUGCUUGACAACAGAGGAACCUCAGACGCCUCCCACCAGAGUCCUACAGAAACAAGGCAUCCUGUUGAAACUGACAGAAACCAUCAAGAGUUGGACUCUUUCCUCUCAGUACAGUAAGAAAGAUGACUUACUCCACAAGCUGGACACCGGGUUUCGACUGGACGCACUGGACGCCAUCCUGCAACAGGAAGUCCUGCUCCAAGAGGAUGUGGAGCUGAUUGAGCUGCUUGAUCCCAGCAUCCUGUCUGCAGGGCACCCGCAACAGGAAAAUGGACACCUUCCAACACUCUGCUCCCUGGCAACCCCUAACAUUUGGGAUGUCUCCAUGCUGUUUGCCUUCAUUAGUCUGCUCAUCAUGCUUCCCACGUGGUGGAUUGUGUCUUCCUGGCUGGUAUGGGGAAUAAUUCUAUUUCUUUACUUGAUCAUACGAGUCUUGAAAUUCUGGAGGACAGCCAAACUGCAAAUGACUCUGAAAAAAUACAGGGUCCGUUUGGAAGACAUGGCAGCCAAUAGCCGAGCCUUCACCAACCUUGUGAGAAAGUCGCUCCGUCUCAUCCAAGAAACCGAAGUCAUUUCCAGGGGAUUUACUCUUUUGCUUGACAGGGUCAGUGCUGCUUGCUCAUUUAAUAAGGCUGCACAGCAUCCCAGCCAGCAUCUCAUCGGCCUUCGGAAAGCCGUCUACAGGACCGUACGAGCCAACUUUCAAGCCGCAAGGCUAGCUACCCUGUACAUGCUGAAAAACUACCCCCUGAACUCUGAGAGUGACAAUGUCACCAACUACAUCUGUGUGGUACCUUUUAAGGAGCUGGGGCUCGGACUCAGUGAAGACCAGAUAUCAGAAGAGGAAGCCCGGAACCUGACGGAUGGCUUCAGCCUGCCAGCCUUGAAGGUUUUGUUCCAACUCUGGGUGGCACAGAGUUCAGAGUUCUUCAGACGCCUAGCUCUGCUACUUUCCACAGCAAAUUCGCCUUCUGGGCCCUUACUGACUGCUGCACUCUUGCCUCAUCGUAUUCUCUCUGAUGUGACUCAAGGUCUACCUCAUGCUCACACUGCCUGCUUGGACGAGCUAAAGCGCAGCUAUGAGUUCUUUCGGUACUUUGAAACUCAGCACCAGUCAGUCCCUCAGCGCUUACCCAAAACCCAGCCGAAGUGGAGAGAGCUGAACAACGUCCACACGGCAGUGCGCAGCUUACAGCUCCAUCUGAAAGCGCUGCUGAAUGAAGUAAUAAUUCUUGAAGAUGAACUUGAGAAGCUCGUUUGUACUAAAGAAACCCAAGAGCUGCUGUCAGAGGCUUAUCCAGUCCUAGAGCAGAGAUUAAAGCUAAUCGAGCCACAUGUUCAGGCCAGCAACAGCUGCUGGGAAGAAGCCAUCUCCCAAGUGGACAGACUGCUCCGGAGGAAUACAGAUCAAAAAGGCAAGCCUGGAGUAGCGUGUGAGAACCCACACUGCACCGCGGCGCCCUUGUUGCGGCCGACGCUACACAUUGAGGACAGAGACCCCAUCCCUGAGGAGCAGGAAUUAGAAGCUUAUGUGGAUGGCAUAGACAUAGAAAGUGAGUUCCGAAAGGACAGUUUGUAUCACGUGUCGCAGGAAGACAGAGAGAGACAGAAGCGUGAGCAGGAGGAGUCCAAGAGGGUGCUGCAGGAGCUAAAGUCUGUGCUGGGAUUUAAAGCUUCAGAGGCCGAAAGGCAGAAAUGGAAGCAACUUCUGUUCAGUGACCACGAAGGCUUGGGUUAUGCUGAUGACUGAACUCUGCCUUCGGCUGGCUGAACAUGGCUGAACAUGCUCUUUCUGCUGAGCUACACCCCAGCACCGGCUCAUCUUUCAUGGCUCUCCGUGAAUCAGCUGUUGAGAGCUCAUGUAAGGCACAGACCUACUGAGAUGGCUGACGAGUACGGAACUACAGCACAUCCUGUGUCCUGCUUCUUAUACGUACGCUCUAGGCACUGUGCUCAGGUCCUCAAGCUUGCAGAGCAAGCACUUUGCUGACUGGGCCACCUCCCCACCCCCUACCCCCAAAACUCAUUAAUUAAGGAAUUUUUCUUCCCUUGAUUUCAAGUAAUUCAAUUUUCCAUUAAGAGAUCGCUCACUCCAUGACAUAUUUUCUUACAUACUGCUCUCUGUGCUACUAGGAUAGCCACUCCAGGAGGACAGGAGAUUUUUGUGAGCGACUGUGUGUGGCACUCACUAGGAUAGCCAUACGAUAAUACUUAGGCCACUCUGUCUAAAACAUUUCCAUGGCCCUCAUUGCUCUUAGAUCAAACCCAUGAUUCUUCCUCUUCCCCUUCUUCCUCAUCUUCCCUCUCUCCCUUCUUCCUUCUCUUGACGGACGGGGCUUGCAAGGCCAGAGGACCAGUGCAGAGCACUGAACAAUGCCAGAAUCCAGGAAAGAACUCACUCAGGAUUGUUCUCUUGUGUAUUCUGACCUCCACGGGAUCCAGAUCAAAAGAGCCAAUUUACCGAUUUGUAUUCCAUCUGUCCUUCCUCCUGGACCUGUUUCUCAUUUGGUUGUAGUGAAAAGAUGAAAUUCUAAGACCCUGUAAUUCUUCAGUUCAACAGUCCAUGCAACCUAUUACUGAAACCAUCCCUAGAAGCUCAACAAUCUAAGCUGGUAUAUAUUUGAUUUGGGGGAAAAAAGAUAUUUAUAUGUGAACUAGCAUGAAGUAUGCAUUUAGUCUGAAAUUGAGUUCCUCAACUAUUUGCUAAAAAUAGCAAAGGACUUUCUGGUGAUACAGGAAGGGUUACUGUAAUGGUUCCAAAGACUGUCAGCUGACAUCCUCGAUAUCAUGAAUAUUACCACCGAGAGACUGUGCUGGGUAAAAUACAUUUGUAUAUGGUUCAUUUUACUCAUCAGCAACCAACCUUGAGAUAAUUAAUCUUAGUAGCAGCUGCCACUCCCCCUUCCAUUUUCUCUCCUCCUCCUCUUCCUCUUCCCCUCCUCUUUCUCCUUUCCCUCCUCCUCCUUCCCCUCCUCCUCUUUAUCCCCCUUCCCCCUUCCUCCUCCUCAUCUUCCUCUUUUUCCUCCUCUUUCCUCAUUGACUCUGUGUUGCCCAGGCUGGUCUCACACCCCUGGGCUCAGUCAGUCUCCCCCUCGUCGCUCAGUAGCCAGACUGCUGACAUUCACCAGGAUGCCAAGAAACUUCAAGCUUCAUUCAGUAGCUUCUCUAGACUCUAAGUGGUACCUACGUUUAUCUUUUUUAGCCACUAUAUCCAGAUAUUUUGUUUGAACCUUUCCCCAAAGCCCUGUAUCUUAAGCCUGGCCGCUAUAAUUCAUUCUUCUUCCUCUUUCUCUCCUUCCUUUUUCCUUUCUCUUCCUUCCUUCUCUUUUCCCUUUUUUUAAAAACAUCAACUCACUUUCUUUGACCUAGACUGGCCUGGAACUCAGAGCAAUACUGUUACCACAGUUUCUCAAGUGCUGGGAUUGUAGGCCCAAAUCAUCCCACCCUCUUCCGACAUUCUAAAAGGCAUGGUAAAGGUCACUCCCCCUACCCCCUAUUUGCCUGAAAGAUGUAUCUUUUGUACACAUGGUCAACCAUCAGACAAAAAUUCAACAGGCCUUAAUAAGGCUACAUGUCUGCCCUCAGAAUGAAGGAGUGAAUUGGCCUGAGGCAAUCUGACUCCAUGACAGACUGCAGACUAGCAGCUCAGGAGACCAGGCCUGAGUUUCUACUUCCCAGAACGGGGCAAGUCAGUUACCAGAACAACCACAGGCUUAUGUAAAAGAGACCUUCCCCAGCUUGUAAGAGGACAGUUAGCCAAACUUUCGACCAAGAGGUCCCAUGAAGCAAGAAGAGAUAGUCUGAAUCAGAGCAUCACCAAAACUCAGAGAGAUAGAAUCCACCAAUCAAAAUAUAGAUCUCCCAUGCCUCCACAGCGUUCCUCUUUUUGACUUUAAAACUGAAUCUGUGAAUUCAGUGGGGGUCCUUUCACCCCGAUAGAAUUGGACCCCUGCAUGCAGAAAUAAACGUUCUUUGCUUUUGCAUACUA